ACCAUAGUCACGCAACCCACUCGACGAUCUAGAAAGUCUCUAUCAGCCAGUUAACAUAAACACGAAACCAAAGACCACUCGCGAUUCCUAAGAACCAACCUGAAGGACUACACACACAGUACGAGUGAGAACGUUAGGAACUUCGGAAUGGCGAUCACGCCAGUGAUGAUCUUGCCAUAGAAGUACACUAUGUUCUGAGUACUGAAAAGCUCUACCAUUCCGAGAGCUUAGGACCAUAUGAGAAUUCUCAUGGAGACUUGGUCCAACCCUUUUCAGGCCGCUACUACCUUCGGAUGUACCACAAGAUUCACACCCGAUCGAUCCACUUNUGUACCACAAUUCACACCCGAUCGAUCCACUUCUUAGACUUGAUAGGUGAUUUCCCGACAACACUCUUCGUACCUCACUCAUUUCGAUAGAAACCAUUGAGAACCCUAACCUUGUAGAUACACCAGUUGGAACCCACUAGCUACACGAGACGGAAUCCGCAUCCCGUACGUAAGGGUCUGUUGGAAUGACAAACACAGACCAGAGAUCACUUGGGAAUGUGAGGACAACCGUAUAGCAAGUACUCUCAUACCUCUACUUGGCCAUUCAUACCUACUUCCUUGCCUAGACCUGAAUUUCGAGACAAAAUUCCCUCUAACGGGGGGAUGAUGUGACAACCCAAGUUGUUCCGUUACAUUUCCCCGUUACCUUAACGGAAUAUUCCAGUUUAUAAAAGUUCCGUUAAUUAGAGGUCGUCAAUUUAAUAAACAUUCCAUUUGUUUACAAUUAAUAUUCCGUUAAGUCGUGAUAAAGGGAAAUAAAAACACAUGACACACAUUUCCAUUUAAUUGGAAAAAGUUAGUUUUUAUUAUUACGACCACUAAAUCGGGCGCGACCAAAAGCCCCGUUUAACGGCAGUACUGGAUAGAAUUUCACUGAGCUCCAACUCCCACCCAUAUUUAAAGGGGAGUAAACUCCAUUUGAGCUCUUUCCACCCACUCUCUCUCUAUAUAUAUACUCUCUCUCUAGACUCGUUUUCGCCCCGAAUCCGCAACCAAACGCUUCCAAAUCGUAAGUCCGCUUACCCUAGCUUAUUCUAAACAUUAUGAUUUGUGUUUAUAGCCCAAAAAUUGGACUUAGAAGCUAGGGAAGAGGAGUUUACGUCCUAAGCUCCUCCUUAGGCCGUAAACAACUUAAAUGAGGCCAAAUUGACCCCAAAAUGUCCCUAAAUGCUUGGAAACUAAUAGAGGAAUUAGCCUAGGAGUGUUUGCACAUUUAAAACAAUCAAAUUUGGGCAUAAAAGAGAGUUUACGGCCCAAGCACAUGCUUNUACCGAGAAUCACAGGAUAACCUUCACAACCAAGAAUACUUAAUCAAAGUGCGGAAGUAGUUGCGUUAAACCUCAUGACCCCGAUCCCGAAGAGGUUAUAGACUUGACACCAGCCCUGGUGUUAGUCGAAAGGUUAUGCAGGAACAUAAGCUUUCCGCACUAGAAUAAACCAAAGUCUUAGAGGUUAAUUGGACUAUUAGGUGUUCCACGGAUACCAUCUCACGCAGAAAUAGUAGAACCACCUCCAGAGAUAGUCCGACACUCGUCUGGUGAAACCCUAUCUUCCCGACCUCCAGGGUUUCCGCAUCCCAAGCUUCGUUAGUGAAGAUUUGUUUUGCACACGCUUGAGAUAGACACUCUACAACAAACCGAUAACCAUAGUCACGCAACCCACUCGACGAUCUAGAAAGUCUCUAUCAGCCAGUUAACAGAAACACGAAACCAAAUACCACUCGCGAUUCCUAAGAACCAACCUGAAGGACUACACACACAGUACGAGUGAGAACGUUAGGAACUUCGGAAUGGCGAUCACGCCAGUGAUGAUCUUGCCAUAGAAGUACACUAUGUUCUGAGUACUGAAAAGCUCUACCAUUCCGAGAGAUUAGGACCAUAUGAGAAUUCUCAUGGAGACUUGGUCCAACCCUUUUCAGGCCGCUACUACCUUCGGAUGUACCACAAGAUUCACACCCGGUCGAUCCACUUCUUAGACUUGAUAUGCGAUUACCCGACAUCACUCUUCGUGCCUCACUCAUCUUGAUAGAAAACAUUGAGAACCCUAACCUCGUAGAUACACCAGUCGGAACCCA
RNAcentral lists this long non-coding RNA (2124 nucleotides) under Lactuca sativa (garden lettuce). RNAcentral's name for it is "long non-coding RNA (LSAT_LNC006596)". The record is from RNAcentral. Lineage: Eukaryota; Viridiplantae; Streptophyta; Magnoliopsida; Asterales; Asteraceae.